AUUGAACGCUGGCGGCAGGCCUAACACAUGCAAGUCGAGCGGAGCGGCGGACGGGUGAGUAAUUCCUAGGAAUCUGCCUGGUAGUGGGGGAUAACGUACGGAAACGGACGCUAAUACAGCAUACUAUCAGAUGAGCCUAGGUCGGAUUAGCUAGUUGGUGGGGUAAAGGCUGACCAAGGCGACGAUCCGUCGCUGGGCUGAGAGGAUGAUCAGUCAACCUGGAACUGGGAAACGGUCCCGACUCCUACGGGAGGCAGCAGUGGGGAAUAUUGGACAAUGGGCGAAAGCCUGAUGCAGCCAUGCCGCGUGUGUGAAGAAGGUCUUCGGAUUGUAAAGCACUUUAAGUUGGGAGGCGUUACCAACAGAAUAAGCACCGGCUAACUUCGUGCCAGCAGCCGCGGUAAUAC
RNAcentral lists this ribosomal RNA (407 nucleotides) under uncultured bacterium. Its description in RNAcentral is "partial 16S ribosomal RNA". It matches the Rfam family "Bacterial small subunit ribosomal RNA", at positions 30 to 526 of the family's 1533-position model. The record is from RNAcentral.